CAUGGGGUGCAAACGUUGCUCGGAAUUAUUGGGCGUAUAGCGCGCGUAGGCGGUUACUCAAGUCGGAUGUGAAAGCCCUCGGCUUAACUGAGGAAGUGCACCCGAAACUGAGUAGCUAGAGUACUAAAGAGGGUCGCGGAAUUCCCGGUGUAGAGGUGAAAUUCGUAGAUAUCGGGAGGAACACCGGUGGCGAAGGCGGCGACCUGGGUAGAUACUGACGCUGAGGCGCGAAAGCGUGGGGAGCAAACAGGACUAGAUACCUUGGUAGUCCACGCCGUAAACGAUGGGUGCUAGAUGUUUCUGGUAUUGACUUUGGAGGCGUUGUAGCUAACGUGUUAAGCACUCUGUCUGGGGAGUACGGCCGCAAGGCUA
RNAcentral lists this ribosomal RNA (372 nucleotides) under uncultured organism. RNAcentral describes it as "bacterial SSU rRNA". It matches the Rfam family "Bacterial small subunit ribosomal RNA", at positions 526 to 896 of the family's 1533-position model. The record is from RNAcentral.